Xenopus laevis (African clawed frog) is the source of this 1698-nucleotide long non-coding RNA. RefSeq lists it as uncharacterized. Lineage: Eukaryota; Metazoa; Chordata; Amphibia; Anura; Pipidae. The transcript is spliced from 2 exons. The record is from RefSeq and is a predicted model, not a curated record.
CUUUCUACGUUUUUAUUAAGAUCACUAUACAUAUUCUUUCACGCAUAAGUUAUGGGUAACAAUAUAUAUUUUCCAUCCAUAUAAGAGAUAAAAUACUUCAUGUGUCUAUGGUGGGAAUUUUGUAUAUAAAUUUCAUUCCUAACACCCGUGACCCACGAUAGUUUUUAUAUGGGAGGUAAUGAGUUAAUGAUUUUAAUCAGGUGUGGAAUGUCUAGAUAUGUAGAGUUAAGGGAGGAGGGGCCCCGUGCUUCUGAGGAAGUGGCGUGAGGCCACGAAACGCGUUAAGCGUGGGGCUAUGUUUUCUGGUUUGCUCUUCAUGAUUUUAUGAUUUCUCAAUAAACUUGGACUUUUUAUAUGACCCGAAAUGCUGCCUGGUGCUCCAUGAUUUUGGUGCUCAAUGAUCAACUUGAGCAUGGUUCCAAUCAACCUGAGAGAAAUGACUGUAACAUGGUGAAAUUUGUUGCAUCACUAAGGAGACACGAACCGCCAUCGGUUCAGAUUCCUAAAUGAGGAUACACAAUCCCAAAACCCUUCAACCCGUCACAGGGAAAAAAACGAAAGCGUGAGGAGGCUUUGGAAUCCAGUGCUGAAAAGGUUAUAUCUUUCUCCAAAAGAACUCCCGCACCUUAUUGCCUGCAUGGCCACCAGAGGGAGCUCGAGGAAGAGGAGGUGCCUGUUAUCAAAGCCACUCGUACGCCACACUACAGGGUCCUAUUUAAACCCAAACUUUUAGAAAAGAGACAAGUGGAUGUUUGUCCCUUUUCCUUCUUUGAGCAGGACAAGGAGCGGCAGCUGCAGAAAGAGAAGCGAUUGGAUGAACUUCGCAAAGUGGAAGUGAGUAUGGCAAAAUAGGGGUGGGAUAUUCUCACCACAGGGCAGAAAUAGGAACAUAUGUACAGCUGAGUGGUGUGGGUGAUGGGCACAGGGUAGAUACAGGCAUCCAUAUUACAGUGCAGUGUGGGUAUCAUACUUGCAAAGCUCAACUCUGGAUCUUUUCCUUGAGGUCUAUAAAUUCAAGGCUCAGCCUCUGCCACCAUUCUAUCACAUCACCCCCUUUAAGAAGAAGGUGAGGUUGCCAAGCCAGAAGGAGCGAUUUGAGCUGGAGACAUACAAUGUGGAGUCAAGUCCUACUUAACCAUCCCAACAUCCCCAAGCUUCUCAGGCAGGUUUAAGUGCUGAUGCAGCUGAUGUUCCUGUGUUACCGCCAAAUCGAAAUUUUCUGGUAGUUGAUGCCCUUUUCAAGCCCUGGACUAUACACAUCCUAAUGAACAAACAUAUGUCCGGUAAAUAGUAGCGUGAAUACAGAGGCAUGUUUUUGCCCUGGGGGGGUGUUAUGUAAAUACUUAAUGGUAGGGAUGCAACAAAUCCACUAUUUGGGAUUCUGCCCAAUGCCUGGUGAAAGAUUUGACCAAAUACCGAACCAAAUCCUAAUUUGCAUAUGCAAAUUAGAAUCAGGGAAGGAAAAAGAGGAAAACAGAUCAUCUUCUGUGACGAUUUCCCUACCCGUCCUAAAUUUAUAUAUGCAAAUUAGGAUUUGGGUUCGGCCAGGCACAAGGAUUCGGCCGAGUCCUGCUGAAAAUCCUGGUCAAAUCCCGAACCGAAUCCUGGAUUCGCUGCAUCCCUAAUUAAUGGCCUAUUAUGCCUUGUAAAAACGGUAAAUAAGAUAAAUAUACCUUGUAAUAAAAUUUAAGUGAACUA